UCAAAAUUUGAAACCGUUAGCUACUAACGUAGCGAAGCUUCUUUGGCAAAAAAAAAAAGAACUUCGUGGCCAUGAAGUUGCGACUGAUAUUCUUCGUCUUCUUUUUCGUUUACAGGAGAUCCACUGCGAUUGGGCAAGCAGUGGACCUUAAGCAAAACGAAGAAGCCCCAACAGCAGCCCCGGUUAUUCCUGAUGGCACGCCGGAAGGCCAACUAUCGUUAGUGGAUCGCUUGGAAACAAUGGAAAAGGCAUUCAGGGCUAUAGUGUCAGCUCUUUCGAACCAAUCCAACGAUUUAUUCGCACCAAUUAAAGAAAUUUUGGUACAAGAUCCGUCUGUCAGGUCGUUCCUUUCAUCAACAUCAUUUUUACCAAAUGUCACUACCACCCCUGUAAAUGGUACCGAUAAAUAUGUGACCAUCGAGAGCAGCAAACAAGCAACGAAAGAAAUCCUUCAACAAGGGAAGAAUAUGGUGGACACGCUUAAAGGAGUAGUCAAGUGUUCAUUAGCUCAUUUGGUUGAUAUCAAUAGCAUCGAUGAUUUAAACUCGAGCCUGAACGGAUCGUCAUUAACCGCUCUACUCACUAGUAAAGAAUCAGUUGAAAUCAAUUGGCCCAUGCCCUCGGCCGAGUGUUUGAAAUUCAGUACAGGUGUAUGGAUCAGAGUAUACCAGUCCGGUGAUCAACACAAAUGGCCGGCAGAAACUCUUUUAACUGUUCCUCAAAGGUGCGUGAAAAAGAGUUCAAAAACUUUGUACUCGAUCAUCCUUUCACCACCGUCUAUCUCUGCAACUGGAAAGAAAGAUCCUUGCCAUUUUCAUUUGACCAAAAGUCUGACUCAAUGCCGAUCUUACGUCGUGCAAGUCAUCCCAAAUUAUCAAUCGCUCAGAGGAAAAACCUUACGAACGGAAAUCGUAGUUCCACCAAAGAUUAGUGAAGAUCCGAGCAUGAAAUCGUUACUAACUGCCGUGGCGAAUGGAGAUCUAUGGAAAUUGAAUUGGAAGGAUAAUUCUGGUUGCGAACCUCAGAUGACAUCUUUGAACCUGAAAAUAUUCCAGGAUGGAUUUGUCGAUAGUCUAAGACAAAAUGUUAGUACCAUCAAGAUUCCGCGAAGUUGUUUGAGACAACACGCAAAUGACGAUAACCUGUUCACAAUGGUUUUACCAGCUAAUCAACAGACAUGCCCAAUUGAUUGGAAACCAUUAGACAAGUGUCGCAAAUACAGACUUGAAAUGAGUUCCGCAGUACACGGACACAUGGAAUGGGCCUUCUACUUCAUUGGAGAUACUUGCAAAAGGACACGAAGUUGCAAACAAUUCACUUGAUUCAAAUGACAUAUGGAGAUGUCAAAGAAAGUAUUUCUACUGUGAGUACAAUGGCUGUUGGCCGUCCGACCACAGCUAUGUAUGUAACGGACAAAAUCACUGUAAUAAUGGCCGAGAUGAACACUACUGUGAUCCUGUAUGCAAAGUGGGAUUUAAAUGCGGUCGGCAGUGCAUACCCAACGAACUCGUUUGCAAUGGCAAAUUCGAUUGUCUCGAUGGCUCCGAUGAGGACUAUACUUGCAGUUACGACAACAUGUGUCAGCAAUUCACAAAUUCAUCGGGAAAUUUCUCGUCGCUGAUUAUCCCCAAGCCUGCCAAUGAAAUUAGCUCGGAUAGAAUGUCCGAUAUUGUCCGUAAAACGGCCGUUUUGAUAUCGGUAGAACCCAAUCACCAAAUUUGGCUCACGUUUGAAAAAUGCGUCACUUCCGAAAACAAACACUUUGUUAAAAUUUAUGACGGACCUUACUCCACCAGUUCUCUUCUGUUAUCCCGAAGCGGUUCACUAAGUCCAUUUUCCGUACGAUCAUCGUCUAACGAGCUUUAUGUAGAAUUUCCGUCCUAUUAUGAUGUGACAUAUGGAAUCACUGCCGUCUAUUCGAGCAUAAACGCUACAAUAAGCGAACCAUUUAUACCAGGAUGCGGAGGUUAUAUUCAAAGGUGAAGGGUUGAUUUCAACGCCAACCUAUUCUGCUAAUCCCGAUAUCACCGACUGCUUUUGGUUCUUGGAAACGAAGAACAAGCGAAGAUACUAUUGUACUAAGCAACUCGGAUUUCCUCUCGUAUCAGAGGAUGAAAUCAAUUUCUGCUACCGCGAGAACCUCUGAGCAUGAUCAUUAUGGUCGAUGGUCACAACCUACACCUCUGUCAACAGUGCCUCCACCGACUGAGUCACCCUCUCUAAUCAUUUAUGACGGAUGGAGUACUGAAGGUCUUGUUCUUUACAAUGGGGAAGCUAAAGAUCAAAGGAGGGCAGUCACCUAUUCGAUCAGCAACAAAAUGAUGGUUCAUUUGACAUCACCUGAAAUUAGAGUUCAAACUCCGUUCUCCUGGACAGUCUCGAGAAUUUCUACACCGCAAUGCAACCAUACCUUUGAUGGACCUAAUGGAAUAAUCAAAAGCCCCAACUAUCCAUUAGUUUAUUCGCAUCUGAGUGACUGCCGCUGGAACAUCGAUGUGAAACCUGGUUUAAAAAUCCGGUUGCUUUUUGGUUUCUUUGAAACACAGGACCAAGCAGAUUUUCUCUACGUAUACGAUGGACCGACCAUGUACUCGAAGCUGUUGUUUGAAAAAUCAGGAUCUGUUACGACACCAUUUGAAAUUACCUCGACAAGCAAUCAAGUGUUUAUUAGGUUUAUCAACCGAUGCCAACACUGCUCUUCCUGGUUUUCUUGUUAUUUAUUCGACAGUUUGAGUUUUGUCUUGAUCA
RNAcentral lists this small RNA (2748 nucleotides) under Daphnia magna. Its description in RNAcentral is "uncharacterized LOC116921558". Lineage: Eukaryota; Metazoa; Arthropoda; Branchiopoda; Diplostraca; Daphniidae. The record is from RNAcentral.